RNAcentral lists this transfer RNA (76 nucleotides) under Kosmotoga arenicorallina. Its description in RNAcentral is "tRNA-Lys". It matches the Rfam family "tRNA". From Rfam's summary of the family: Transfer RNA (tRNA) molecules are approximately 80 nucleotides in length. Their secondary structure includes four short double-helical elements and three loops (D, anti-codon, and T loops). The record is from RNAcentral. RNAcentral also lists the same sequence under 5 other names. Lineage: Bacteria; Thermotogati; Thermotogota; Thermotogae; Kosmotogales; Kosmotogaceae.
GGGCCGUUAGCUCAACAGGCAGAGCGGCUGAUUCUUAAUCAGUAGGCUGCGGGUUCGAUUCCUGCACGGCCCACCA